This 460-nucleotide ribosomal RNA is filed under the name uncultured bacterium. Its description in RNAcentral is "partial 16S ribosomal RNA". It matches the Rfam family "Bacterial small subunit ribosomal RNA", at positions 338 to 795 of the family's 1533-position model. The record is from RNAcentral.
CCUACGGGUGGCAGCAGUGAGGAAUAUUGGUCAAUGGACGAGAGUCUGAACCAGCCAAGUAGCGUGAAGGAUGACUGCCCUAUGGGUUGUAAACUUCUUUUAUAUGGGAAUAAAACGUUCCACGUGUGGGAUUUUGUAUGUACCAUAUGAAUAAGGAUCGGCUAACUCCGUGCCAGCAGCCGCGGUAAUACGGAGGAUCCGAGCGUUAUCCGGAUUUAUUGGGGUUAAAGGGAGCGUAGGGGGAUUGUUAAGUCAGUUGUGAAAGUUUGCGGCUCAACCGUAAAAUUGCAGUUGAAACUGGCAGUCUUGAGUACAGUAGAGGUGGGCGGAAUUCGUGGUGUAGCGGUGAAAUGCUUAGAUAUCACGAAGAACUCCGAUUGCGAAGGCAGUUCACUGGACUGCAACUGACACUGAGGCUCGAAAGUGUGGGUAUCAAACAGGAUUAGAUACCCUUGUAGUC